UGGCGGCAUGCCUUACACAUGCAAGUCGAGCGGCAGCGCGGGGGCAACCCUGGCGGCGAGCGGCGAACGGGUGAGGAAUACAUCGGAACGUACCCCGGAGUGGGGGAUAACGCCGCGAAAGCGGCGCUAAUACCGCAUAUGCUCUGUGGAGGAAAGUGGGGGACCUGUAAGGGCCUCACGCUCUGGGCGCGGCCGAUGUCCGAUUAGCUAGUUGGUGAGGUAAUGGCUCACCAAGGCGACGAUCGGUAGCUGGUCUGAGAGGAUGAUCAGCCACACUGGGACUGAGACACGGCCCAGACUCCUACGGGAGGCAGCAGUGGGGAAUUUUGGACAAUGGGGGCAACCCUGAUCCAGCCAUGCCGCGUGCGGGAAGAAGGCCUUCGGGUUGUAAACCGCUUUUAGUCGGGAAGAAAAGAUCACGGAUAACACCCGUGGUUCUUGACGGUACCGGCGGAAUAAGCACCGGCUAACUACGUGCCAGCAGCCGCGGUAAUACGUAGGGUGCGAGCGUUAAUCGGAAUUACUGGGCGUAAAGCGUGCGUAGGCGGUUCGUUAAGUUCGUCGUGAAAGCCCCGGGCUCAACCUGGGAAUGGCGAUGGAAACUGGCGGGCUGGAGUAUGGCAGAGGGGGGUGGAAUUCCGCGUGUAGCAGUGAAAUGCGUAGAGAUGCGGAGGAACACCGAUGGCGAAGGCAGCCCCCUGGGCCAAUACUGACGCUCAGGCACGAAAGCGUG
Molecule: ribosomal RNA, 733 nt
Filed under: uncultured soil bacterium
Lineage: Bacteria
Description: bacterial SSU rRNA
Rfam family: Bacterial small subunit ribosomal RNA
Source: RNAcentral